AAAUUAGUAAGAUAUGAGCCAUAUGUUUGCAAUGCAUUACCUUGGAUCUUGAUGUAAAAAAAUUUAUUUGCUAAUACAAAAAUUUGAGUAGUUUAAUUUGAAAGUCUAGAUAUUUCCUAUGUUAAAAAGUAAAUAUUUUUUGAUUUUUUAAAGCCUUUUUUACACAGAUUUUAUACUUUUUUCUACAAAGUUCAGAAUUGUCUAGGUCAAAAUAUUAUUACGUAUUUUACAACACCUUUUGGGACCCAUGAAGAUAAGUUGUAUAUUUCUAAGCAAAUAAUCUGUUUGAAGAUUGCAAAGAUGUAGUAAAUGGUAUGAUCUUAAACACAAAAUAGGAAAAAGAUUGAGAAAGUAAAGAAGCUAUUCUUGAAUAAACAAAAAAAAGUUAUGAUCUUAAACACAAAAUAGGAAAAAACAAUUGAGGAAGUAAAGAAGCUAUUCUUGAAUAAACAAAAGAAAGCAUGUUUCAAUUAUAAAACAUGUAACAUAUGACGAAUAAUUCAAGAGAAAUAGCACAUAAAUAUUCAGAAAGCACUGAAAUAUAAAUCUUACACAUUAUCCGAAUUCUAGCCAAAUAUGAAACUAUAGCGGCUUUAAUUUCAACAACACAAAACUUCAUUAUACAAUUCUAGCCAUAGCAAAGUUUCUUAAUUUUGGACGAGCUUAAUAAACACCAAUUACGGUUUAUAUUUCAACUAGACAAAUUGAAUUUCAGUCACUAAUAUGCAAUUCUUGAAGAAAACAAAAGAAGGUUCAAAAGGGACUAUGUGAAUCUGCAAAAGAGAAAAAAACAUUGCUAACAUUUUGGAACACAUCCCAAUUAAGAAUUACGAUUUAGAGAAUCAGGAUGUCAACAAAAUCAAGAAAAAACAUCGCUAACAAUUUAGAACACGUCCCAAUUAAGAUUUACGAUUUAGAGAAACGGGAUGUCAACAAAAUCAAGAAAAAUUACAGAAAAUUCAGAGAUUCAAUCAAAAUAGAAUAUCCAAAAGUGAGAGCAAACACAAAUAAGAGGCAAGCAAAACCUUCUAGUUUAGCCCCUUCUCAAUCGUAUUUCUAAAUGGGUUUUUUAAAACCCUAAACUCGAAACUGAAAUUUACCAUUAGUCAAGCAAAACCUUCUAGUUUAACCCCUUCUCAAUCGUAUUUUAAAAGGAGGUUUCUUAAACCCUAAACUCGAAACUGAAAUUUACCAUUAGAAAAGUGGAAACAAGAUGGAGAAUUCCAACUAUAAUUUUCAAAAUCUUAC
RNAcentral lists this long non-coding RNA (1248 nucleotides) under Nicotiana benthamiana. RNAcentral's name for it is "long non-coding RNA (NBEN_LNC014289)". Lineage: Eukaryota; Viridiplantae; Streptophyta; Magnoliopsida; Solanales; Solanaceae. The record is from RNAcentral.